RNAcentral lists this ribosomal RNA (389 nucleotides) under Chelonibia caretta. RNAcentral's name for it is "partial 16S ribosomal RNA". It matches the Rfam family "Archaeal large subunit ribosomal RNA", at positions 2032 to 2625 of the family's 2987-position model. Lineage: Eukaryota; Metazoa; Arthropoda; Thecostraca; Balanomorpha; Chelonibiidae. The record is from RNAcentral.
GGUAGCAUAAUCAUUAGUCUUUUAAUUGGAGACUGGUAUGAAUGGCUAAACGAGAGAUCAACUUUUUUUACCGUAAAAAUUGAAUUUAACUUUUUAGUGAAAAGGCUAAAAUUUUUCAGAAAGACGAGAAGACCCUAUAGAGUUUUAUAAAGGACUAAUACUUUUUAUUUGGAUUUUUAUAAAAAAAUAUUAAUAAAUUUAUUUUGUUGGGGCGACAUUUAGAUAAAAAAAACUCUUUAUAAGAAAAAUUUUUAUGAAAAUAUGGAUUGAUCCUUUAAAAAAGAUCAUAAGAAAAAAUUACCUUAGGGAUAACAGCGUAAUCUUUUUUGAGAGUUCUAAUCGACAAGAAGGUUUGCGACCUCGAUGUUGGACUAAAAUUAGGGCAGGGU